CCUACGGGGGGCUGCAGUGGGGAAUAUUGGACAAUGGGCGAAAGCCUGAUCCAGCCAUGCCGCGUGUGUGAAGAAGGCCUUCGGGUUGUAAAGCACUUUCAGUGGGGAAGAAAGCCUUGGGGCUAAUACCCUCGAGGAAGGACAUCACCCACAGAAGAAGCACCGGCUAACUCCGUGCCAGCAGCCGCGGUAAUACGGAGGGUGCGAGCGUUAAUCGGAAUUACUGGGCGUAAAGCGCGCGUAGGCGGUCUGAUAAGCCGGUUGUGAAAGCCCCGGGCUCAACCUGGGAACGGCAUCCGGAACUGUCAGGCUAGAGUGCAGGAGAGGAAGGUAGAAUUCCCAGUGUAGCGGUGAAAUGCGUAGAGAUCGGGAGGAAUACCAGUGGCGAAGGCGGCCUUCUGGACUGACACUGACGCUGAGGUGCGAAAGCGUGGGUAGCAAACAGGAUUAGAUACCCGGGUAGUC
RNAcentral lists this ribosomal RNA (465 nucleotides) under Vreelandella stevensii. Its description in RNAcentral is "partial 16S ribosomal RNA". It matches the Rfam family "Bacterial small subunit ribosomal RNA", at positions 338 to 795 of the family's 1533-position model. Lineage: Bacteria; Pseudomonadati; Pseudomonadota; Gammaproteobacteria; Oceanospirillales; Halomonadaceae. The record is from RNAcentral.